Molecule: non-coding RNA, 137 nt
Organism: Fukomys damarensis (Damara mole-rat)
Lineage: Eukaryota; Metazoa; Chordata; Mammalia; Rodentia; Bathyergidae
Source: Rfam
GCCGGGCGUGGUGGCGCACACCUGUAAUCCCAGCACUCGGGAGGCUGAGGCAGGAGGAUCUCUGUGAGUUGAGACCAGCCUGGGCUGCAUACUGAGUUCCAGGUCAGUCUCAACUACAUAGUGAGACCCUGUCUCAA